AAUACUUCCAGUUCAAAGCACAUAUAACACUUUUGCUGCUAUAUGUGCUGUGAACGAUUUAUUUAUUUUCAGCAAAGCAGUGGAAUCUUGAUUUACCAUGAAUCUGUUUUGGUGCCAAGGCAACAAAUGGAUUGAUAACAAUAAGGUUGUCAAUAGGUUAGCCAAGAAACAAAUUUCUUCUCCUUCUGUUGAUCCUGAGCCUGUCCUGGGCAUCCCAUCUGAUGCAUUUGAGACUGUCAGGAACUGGAUUGGCUGCCAGACAUCUUUCACAGUGGAUUCCAGUCCUGGACUAAGGAAACAAAGUUUCUUAUUCUAAGUCCUUCUCUACAGGAAAUUAAGAAUUGUUUACAUUGAA
Molecule: long non-coding RNA, 355 nt
Filed under: Androctonus crassicauda
Lineage: Eukaryota; Metazoa; Arthropoda; Arachnida; Scorpiones; Buthidae
Source: RNAcentral